RNAcentral lists this ribosomal RNA (158 nucleotides) under Pneumocystis canis. RNAcentral's name for it is "5.8S ribosomal RNA". It matches the Rfam family "5.8S ribosomal RNA". From Rfam's summary of the family: 5.8S ribosomal RNA (5.8S rRNA) is a component of the large subunit of the eukaryotic ribosome. It is transcribed by RNA polymerase I as part of the 45S precursor that also contains 18S and 28S rRNA. Lineage: Eukaryota; Fungi; Ascomycota; Pneumocystomycetes; Pneumocystales; Pneumocystaceae. The record is from RNAcentral.
AAACUUUCAACAAUGGAUCUCUUGGCUCUCGCGUCGAUGAAGAACGUGGCAAAAUGCGAUAUGUAGUGUGAAUUGCAGAAUUCAGUGAAUCAUCGAAUUUUUGAACGCACCUUGCACUCCUUAGUAUUCUAGGGAGUAUGCCUGUUUGAGCGUUAUUU